AUUGAACGCUGGCGGCAGGCUUAACACAUGCAAGUCGAGCGAGCGGCGGACGGGUGAGUAAUGUCUGGGAAACUGCCUGAUGGAGGGGGAUAAAUACUGGAAACGGUAGCUAAUACCGCAUACCAUCUGAUGUGCCCAGAUGGGAUUAGCUAGUAGGUGGGGUAAUGGCUCACCUAGGCGACGAUCCCUAGCUGGUCUGAGAGGCUGACGGGCCACACUGGAACGGAGACACGGUCCAAACUCCACCGGGAGGCGGCGUUGGGGAAUUUUGCACAAGGGGCGAAAGCCUGAGGCAGCCAGGCCGCGUGUGUGAAGAAGGCCUUCGGUUGGUAAAGCACUUUCAGCGAGGAGGCGUUACUCGCAGAAGAAGCACCGGCUAACUCCGUGCCAGCAGCCGCGGUAAUAC
RNAcentral lists this ribosomal RNA (406 nucleotides) under uncultured bacterium. RNAcentral's name for it is "partial 16S ribosomal RNA". It matches the Rfam family "Bacterial small subunit ribosomal RNA", at positions 30 to 526 of the family's 1533-position model. The record is from RNAcentral.